GGGAACUUUUCCUUGGGUAAGGAAUUGACACCUAAACUCCCCAGCAGCUGGACGGAAGAAGGGUCCCCAGAAGCCUGGCUGCUGAUCACUCAAAAUCAUCUCAGACUUUGGCUUGAAGAAACUCUGGCCAACACUAGAGAAACUGGAAUUGUCUGUCUGCAGGCCUGGGAAGAAAGCACUUCAUUGAUAACAAAGGGAACAAGCAGCAUUGGUCAAGAUCUACACCUCAUGACAAAGAGCUCAAGCAUCUAGAUCUCAUCAACCAUAAGAGCUAUAUGCUGGCCACACUUCACUUCAAGUCUUUAGUGCAGUGUUGCAGACUAACUGAAGAGAGAUGUAUUUUUCAUGGUCAUUUCAAAAUACGGUACAGUCACACAUACAUUCUCAUUUAUGCAUGUGUAUGAAAGGUUAAAUAUGUAAUAGCCUUAACAUUUCAAAAUGUGAAUUCUUAAAGGCCUUAAAUAGAUUUGUUAAAUACACAGUAUCUUCCUUCCAGAAAGAUUGCUCACUUCAUUGAAUUCUACAGUUUUCUUCAUUAUGAAACCAUACAGUAAGUAGUAAAGCAUAUUGAACAGCUUUU
This is a long non-coding RNA of Mauremys mutica (yellowpond turtle), 580 nucleotides long. RefSeq lists it as uncharacterized. The record is from RefSeq and is a predicted model, not a curated record. NCBI's taxonomy places the organism in Eukaryota, Metazoa, Chordata, Testudines, Geoemydidae. The transcript is spliced from 3 exons.